This is a long non-coding RNA of Salvia miltiorrhiza (redroot sage), 725 nucleotides long. RefSeq lists it as uncharacterized. The transcript has 3 exons. Lineage: Eukaryota; Viridiplantae; Streptophyta; Magnoliopsida; Lamiales; Lamiaceae. The record is from RefSeq and is a predicted model, not a curated record.
ACUCAUCAGCCGUCUCUUGCACAAUUGAGUUCCAACUCACGGCCUGUCCCCGCCCCAGCCCUCCUCCUUCGGAAUUGCCGCGAUCGUCACCUAAGUCGUCGCCCUGCUGCGCUGUACGAAAAGGCGAAAACAAUAUAAUCUUACCCACGCCUCUCGGCCCGUCUCCUCUAAUCGGCAGUGAGGAUUCACCGUCUCCCCCUGCUUUCUAUAUUUUACUCAUGAUUUUUGAAUUUUGCCAAUUGGAAUUGUGGAAUUGUGAAGAUGAAGGAUGAAGUGAAAUCUUGCAAGUUGUAGAGCAGCUCUAUCAGAGAUAUCCAUCCGUAAAUUUUAUCAAGCCCUAUUUCGUGCCUGUUUGCUGCGAGCCACCGUGUUAUUGCCACCAGCCUACAUCAUCGUGUACAACCAUGCUUGUUUACUGGCCAUUGAUUUGUAUCCUUUAAAGUAAGAACUAUGCAUGGUGAACGAGCAACCGUGGACGAGCAACCAAAGACUCGAGUGGUUGUGCAUUGGCUUGGGUAGCUACUUGGUUCCAUGUUAAGAGGUCUAUGAGGGGAGUGGUCUGAUUGAAAGGAAAAAUAUUUGCAUUUAUGAAGUUUUGGUGUUGUGGUUUCAUUAGUUACUUUUCUUAGCUCUACUGCAAAUCUAGUAAAAUACUAUUUAUCAACGUCUGUCACUGGAUAAUUAUUUUGUUUGACUUUCUGUUGAAAGAAGUCUACAUUUCAUUC